Long non-coding RNA from Coccinella septempunctata (seven-spotted ladybird), 266 nucleotides. RefSeq lists it as uncharacterized. The transcript is spliced from 3 exons. NCBI's taxonomy places the organism in Eukaryota, Metazoa, Arthropoda, Insecta, Coleoptera, Coccinellidae. The record is from RefSeq and is a predicted model, not a curated record.
GUCAUGUAGGUAGAUUCGAAAUUCAAAUUCUGGGGUAUUAAAUUCAAGUAUUUUAGUGUAGUUUUCGGCGUUUUGAUUGUGAAACUCCUGAAAGGUCUACUACCCAACCAGAACUGAGCAAGAAGUGAUCAGGACUGUGUAGAAGAUAAUGGUUUCUCCACUUCCAAAAUUAUGAACUAUAAGAGGCCCAAUCCUGUCGAGCUGAACCUGAUGCCAUGAACCGAUGAGAGGUGUGAGAAAACCCAAUGUAGUGUGAGCAGAACAGG